This 253-nucleotide ribosomal RNA is filed under the name uncultured bacterium. Its description in RNAcentral is "partial 16S ribosomal RNA". It matches the Rfam family "Bacterial small subunit ribosomal RNA", at positions 524 to 776 of the family's 1533-position model. The record is from RNAcentral.
UACGUAGGUGACAAGCGUUGUCCGGAUUUACUGGGCGUAAAGAGCGCGCAGGCGGUCGUUCAAGUCGAGUGUGAAAGCCCCCGGCUCAACUGGGGAGGGUCACUCGAUACUGAUCGACUUGAAGGCAGGAGAGGGUAGUGGAAUUCCCGGUGUAGCGGUGAAAUGCGUAGAUAUCUGGAGGAACACCGGUGGCGAAGGCGGCAUCCUGGACCGACAUUGACGCUGAGGCGCGAAAGCCAGGGGAGCAAACGGG